UACGAAGGGGGCUAGCGUUGUUCGGAAUUACUGGGCGUAAAGCGUGCGCAGGCGGCUUCUCAAGUCAGGGGUGAAAGCCCAGAGCUCAACUCUGGAACUGCCUUUGAGACUGAGAGGCUUGAGUACGGGAGAGGUGAGUGGAAUUCCCAGUGUAGAGGUGAAAUUCGUAGAUAUUCGGAAGAACACCAGUGGCGAAGGCGACUCGCUGGACAGGUAUUGACGCUGAGGUGCGAAAGCGUGGGGAGCAAACAGG
This 253-nucleotide ribosomal RNA is filed under the name uncultured bacterium. Its description in RNAcentral is "partial 16S ribosomal RNA". It matches the Rfam family "Bacterial small subunit ribosomal RNA", at positions 524 to 776 of the family's 1533-position model. The record is from RNAcentral.